UACGAAGGGGGCUAGCGUUGCUCGGAAUUACUGGGCGUAAAGCGCACGUAGGCGGAUUGUUAAGUCGGGGGUGAAAUCCUGGAGCUCAACUCCAGAACUGCCUUCGAUACUGGCGAUCUCGAGUUCGGGAGAGGUGAGUGGAACUGCGAGUGUAGAGGUGAAAUGCGUAGAUAUCGAGAGGAACACCUGAGGUGAAGACGGGUUGCUGGGCCGACACUGACGCUGAAGCUCGAAAGCUAGGGGAGCAAACGGG
Molecule: ribosomal RNA, 253 nt
Filed under: uncultured bacterium
Lineage: Bacteria
Description: partial 16S ribosomal RNA
Rfam family: Bacterial small subunit ribosomal RNA
Source: RNAcentral